Molecule: ribosomal RNA, 589 nt
Filed under: uncultured rumen bacterium
Lineage: Bacteria
Description: bacterial SSU rRNA
Rfam family: Bacterial small subunit ribosomal RNA
Source: RNAcentral
ACAUGCAAGUCGAACGAGAAUCACCGGAAGGAGUUUUCGGACAACGGAAGGUGAGGACAGUGGCGGACGGGUGAGUAACGCGUGAGGAACCUGCCUUUCAGAGGGGGACAACAGUUGGAAACGACUGCUAAUACCGCAUAACGCAUAGGUAUCGCAUGGUACUUAUGCCAAAGAUUUAUCGCUGAAAGAUGGCCUCGCGUCUGAUUAGCUGGUUGGUGAGGUAACGGCCCACCAAGGCGACGAUCAGUAGCCGGACUGAGAGGUUGACCGGCCACAUUGGGACUGAGAUACGGCCCAGACUCCUACGGGAGGCAGCAGUGGGGAAUAUUGGGCAAUGGGCGCAAGCCUGACCCAGCAACGCCGCGUGAAGGAAGAAGGCUUUCGGGUUGUAAACUUCUUUUGGCAGGGAAGAGGAGAAGACGGUACCUGCCGAAUAAGCCACGGCUAACUACGUGCCAGCAGCCGCGGUAAUACGUAGGUGGCAAGCGUUGUCCGGAUUUACUGGGUGUAAAGGGCGUGUAGCCGGGUUGGUAAGUCAGAUGUGAAAUGCACGGGCUUAACUCGUGAACUGCAUUUGAAACUGCUGAUC